RNAcentral lists this long non-coding RNA (242 nucleotides) under Carica papaya (papaya). RNAcentral's name for it is "long non-coding RNA (CPAP_LNC016304)". Lineage: Eukaryota; Viridiplantae; Streptophyta; Magnoliopsida; Brassicales; Caricaceae. The record is from RNAcentral.
GAUGUGUUCUCAGUCGUACGGGACUAAAAAAUUUCAUACCGAACGAGGUUGAGAAUUGGUUUAGUUACAUUCAUACCGAACGAGGUAUUGAGAUAGUUUAUAAUUAUAGUGCUCAUUACCAGAUGGAGUAUUAAGACGGUUUAUAAUUAUGAUGUCCAUUACCGGACAGCGUAUGGAGACGUCCAAUGAAUUGUAAAAGAAAUAUUUUGUACAUUCACGUGUAGCGAGGAUCCCUAUAGGCC